Molecule: small RNA, 28 nt
Filed under: Bombyx mori (domestic silkworm)
Lineage: Eukaryota; Metazoa; Arthropoda; Insecta; Lepidoptera; Bombycidae
Description: ovarian small RNA-23306
Source: RNAcentral
UAUACAUAUCUUGGAAUAUUGAGGCAUC